UACGUAGGUGGCGAGCGUUGUCCGGAAUUAUUGGGCGUAAAGCGCGCGCAGGCGGGAUAUUAAGUCUAUUCUAAAAGUGCGGGGCUCAACCCCGUGAUGGGAUGGAAACUAAUAUUCUUGAGUGCCGGAGAGGAAAGCGGAAUUCCCAGUGUAGCGGUGAAAUGCGUAGAUAUUGGGAGGAACACCAGUGGCGAAGGCGGCUUUCUGGACGGUGUCUGACGCUGAGGCGCGAAAGCCAGGGGAGCGAACGGG
RNAcentral lists this ribosomal RNA (252 nucleotides) under uncultured bacterium. Its description in RNAcentral is "partial 16S ribosomal RNA". It matches the Rfam family "Bacterial small subunit ribosomal RNA", at positions 524 to 776 of the family's 1533-position model. The record is from RNAcentral.